Molecule: ribosomal RNA, 402 nt
Filed under: Acanthamoeba sp. 2 AM-2013
Lineage: Eukaryota; Discosea; Longamoebia; Acanthamoebidae
Description: bacterial SSU rRNA
Rfam family: Eukaryotic small subunit ribosomal RNA
Source: RNAcentral
GUGGAACAGCUUUGUUGCUAGGCCAAAUACAUUAUCAUGGGAUAAUGGAAUAGGACCCUGUCCUCCUAUUUUCAGUUGGUUUUGGCAGCGCGAGGACUAGGGUAAUGAUUAAUAGGGAUAGUUGGGGGCAUUAAUAUUUAAUUGUCAGAGGUGAAAUUCUUGGAUUUAUGAAAGAUUAACUUCUGCGAAAGCAUCUGCCAAGGAUGUUUUCAUUAAUCAAGAACGAAAGUUAGGGGAUCGAAGACGAUCAGAUACCGUCGUAGUCUUAACCAUAAACGAUGCCGACCAGCGAUUAGGAGACGUUGAAUACAAAACACCACCAUCGGCGCGGUCGUCCUUGGCGUCUGUGUCCUCCCCCGCGCGGGCGGGCGGGUUAGCCCGAUCCCGCGAAUGAUGAUUCCU